GGGGAUAUAGUUCAGCGGCAUAAGCACCUGCCUGGCAAGCUUAACGUCCUGAGUUUGAUUCUCAGUACCUCCC
Molecule: transfer RNA, 73 nt
Filed under: Cavia porcellus (domestic guinea pig)
Lineage: Eukaryota; Metazoa; Chordata; Mammalia; Rodentia; Caviidae
Rfam family: tRNA
About the family: Transfer RNA (tRNA) molecules are approximately 80 nucleotides in length. Their secondary structure includes four short double-helical elements and three loops (D, anti-codon, and T loops).
Source: Rfam by way of RNAcentral